This 2899-nucleotide ribosomal RNA is filed under the name Streptococcus pneumoniae GA14373. RNAcentral's name for it is "bacterial LSU rRNA". It matches the Rfam family "Bacterial large subunit ribosomal RNA". Lineage: Bacteria; Bacillati; Bacillota; Bacilli; Lactobacillales; Streptococcaceae. The record is from RNAcentral.
UAAGUUAAUAAGGGCGCACGGUGGAUGCCUUGGCACUAGGAGCCGACGAAGGACGUGACAAACGACGAUAUGCCUUGGGUAGCUGUAAGUAAGCGAUGAUCCAGGGAUUUCCGAAUGGGGGAACCCAACAGGUAGUACCUGUUACCCAACAUCUAGUUAAGGAUGUGAGGAGGAAGACGCAGUGAACUGAAACAUCUAAGUAGCUGCAGGAAGAGAAAGCAAAAGCGAUUGCCUUAGUAGCGGCGAGCGAAACGGCAGGAGGGCAAACCGAAGAGUUUACUCUUCGGGGUUGUAGGACUGCAAUGUGGACUCAAAGAUUAUAGAAGAAUGAUUUGGGAAGAUCAGCCAAAGAGAGUAAUAGCCUCGUAUUUAAAAUAGUCUUUGUACCUAGCAGUAUCCUGAGUACGGCGGGACACGUGAAAUCCCGUCGGAAUCUGGGAGGACCAUCUCCCAACCCUAAAUACUCCCUAGUGACCGAUAGUGAACCAGUACCGUGAGGGAAAGGUGAAAAGCACCCCGGGAGGGGAGUGAAAUAGAACCUGAAACCGUGUGCCUACAACAAGUUCGAGCCCGUUAAUGGGUGAGAGCGUGCCUUUUGUAGAAUGAACCGGCGAGUUACGUUAUGAUGCGAGGUUAAGUUGAAGAGACGGAGCCGUAGGGAAACCGAGUCUGAAUAGGGCGCCUUAGUAUCAUGACGUAGACCCGAAACCAUGUGACCUACCCAUGAGCAGGUUGAAGGUGCGGUAAGACGCACUGGAGGACCGAACCAGGGCACGUUGAAAAGUGCUUGGAUGACUUGUGGGUAGCGGAGAAAUUCCAAACGAACUUGGAGAUAGCUGGUUCUCUCCGAAAUAGCUUUAGGGCUAGCGUCGACAUUAGAGAUUCUUGGAGGUAGAGCACUGUUUGGGUGAGGGGUCCAUCCCGGAUUACCAAUCUCAGAUAAACUCCGAAUGCCAAUGAAUUAUGGUCGGCAGUCAGACUGCGAGUGCUAAGAUCCGUAGUCGAAAGGGAAACAGCCCAGACCACCAGCUAAGGUCCCAAAAUAAUUGUUAAGUGGAAAAGGAUGUGGGGUUGCACAGACAACUAGGAUGUUAGCUUAGAAGCAGCUAUUCAUUCAAAGAGUGCGUAAUAGCUCACUAGUCGAGUGACCCUGCGCCGAAAAUGUACCGGGGCUAAAACAAUUUACCGAAGCUGUGGAUACCUUUAUAGGUAUGGUAGGAGAGCGUUCUAUGUGUGAUGAAGGUAUACCGUGAGGAGUGCUGGAACGCAUAGAAGUGAGAAUGCCGGUAUGAGUAGCGAAAGACAGGUGAGAAUCCUGUCCACCGUAAGACUAAGGUUUCCAGGGGAAGGCUCGUCCGCCCUGGGUUAGUCGGGACCUAAGGAGAGACCGAAAGGUGUAUCCGAUGGACAACAGGUUGAUAUUCCUGUACUAGAGUAUGUAGUGAUGGAGGGACGCAGUAGGCUAACUAAAGCAGACGAUUGGAAGAGUCUGUCUAAGCAGUGAGGUGUGAAUUGAGUCAAAUGCUUAAUUCUAUAACAUUGAGCUGUGAUGGGGAGCGAAGUUUAGUAGCGAAGUUAGUGACGUCACACUGCCAAGAAAAGCUUCUAGCGUUUAAACAUACUCUACCCGUACCGCAAACCGACACAGGUAGUCGAGGCGAGUAGCCUCAGGUGAGCGAGAGAACUCUCGUUAAGGAACUCGGCAAAAUGACCCCGUAACUUCGGGAGAAGGGUGCUGACUUAAAGUCAGCCGCAGUGAAUAGGCCCAAGCAACUGUUUAUCAAAAACACAGCUCUCUGCUAAAUCGUAAGAUGAUGUAUAGGGGGUGACGCCUGCCCGGUGCUGGAAGGUUAAGAGGAGUGCUUAGCGUAAGCGAAGGUAUGAAUUGAAGCCCCAGUAAACGGCGGCCGUAACUAUAACGGUCCUAAGGUAGCGAAAUUCCUUGUCGGGUAAGUUCCGACCCGCACGAAAGGCGUAAUGAUUUGGGCACUGUCUCAACGAGAGACUCGGUGAAAUUUUAGUACCUGUGAAGAUGCAGGUUACCCGCGACAGGACGGAAAGACCCCAUGGAGCUUUACUGCAGUUUGAUAUUGAGUGUCUGUACCACAUGUACAGGAUAGGUAGGAGUCUAAGAAAUCGGGACGCCAGUUUCGAAGGAGACGCUGUUGGGAUACUACCCUUGUGUUAUGGCCACUCUAACCCAGAUAGGUGAUCCCUAUCGGAGACAGUGUCUGACGGGCAGUUUGACUGGGGCGGUCGCCUCCUAAAAGGUAACGGAGGCGCCCAAAGGUUCCCUCAGAAUGGUUGGAAAUCAUUCGCAGAGUGUAAAGGUAUAAGGGAGCUUGACUGCGAGAGCUACAACUCGAGCAGGGACGAAAGUCGGGCUUAGUGAUCCGGUGGUUCCGUAUGGAAGGGCCAUCGCUCAACGGAUAAAAGCUACCCUGGGGAUAACAGGCUUAUCUCCCCCAAGAGUUCACAUCGACGGGGAGGUUUGGCACCUCGAUGUCGGCUCGUCGCAUCCUGGGGCUGUAGUCGGUCCCAAGGGUUGGGCUGUUCGCCCAUUAAAGCGGCACGCGAGCUGGGUUCAGAACGUCGUGAGACAGUUCGGUCCCUAUCCGUCGCGGGCGUAGGAAAUUUGAGAGGAUCUGCUCCUAGUACGAGAGGACCAGAGUGGACUUACCGCUGGUGUACCAGUUGUCUUGCCAAAGGCAUCGCUGGGUAGCUAUGUAGGGAAGGGAUAAACGCUGAAAGCAUCUAAGUGUGAAACCCACCUCAAGAUGAGAUUUCCCAUGAUUAUAUAUCAGUAAGAGCCCUGAGAGAUGAUCAGGUAGAUAGGUUAGAAGUGGAAGUGUGGCGACACAUGUAGCGGACUAAUACUAAUAGCUCGAGGACUUAUCCA